This 339-nucleotide ribosomal RNA is filed under the name uncultured bacterium. Its description in RNAcentral is "bacterial SSU rRNA". It matches the Rfam family "Bacterial small subunit ribosomal RNA", at positions 22 to 356 of the family's 1533-position model. The record is from RNAcentral.
GCUCAGGAUGAACGCUGGCGGCGCGCCUAACACAUGCAAGUCGAACGAGAGAUGAAGAGCUUGCUCUUCAGAUCGAGUGGCGAACGGGUGAGUAACGCGUGAGGAACCUGCCUCAAAGAGGGGGACAACAGUUGGAAACGACUGCUAAUACCGCAUAAGCCCACGGCUCGGCAUCGAGCAGAGGGAAAAGGAGCAAUCCGCUUUGAGAUGGCCUCGCGUCCGAUUAGCUAGUUGGUGAGGUAAUGGCCCACCAAGGCGACGAUCGGUAGCCGGACUGAGAGGUUGAACGGCCACAUUGGGACUGAGACACGGCCCAGACUCCUACGGGAGGCAGCAGUA